GGCUGGUCCGAAGGUAGUGAGUCAUCUCACUUGAUUAUUCACAGUCAGUUACAUAUUGAACUAUUCAUUCUACUCUUUCUCCCCUUCUCACUAGUGCACUUGACUAGUAAAA
Molecule: Y RNA, 112 nt
Filed under: Prolemur simus (greater bamboo lemur)
Lineage: Eukaryota; Metazoa; Chordata; Mammalia; Primates; Lemuridae
Description: Y RNA (ENSPSMG00000015537.1)
Rfam family: Y RNA
About the family: Y RNAs are components of the Ro ribonucleoprotein particle (Ro RNP), in association with Ro60 and La proteins.
Source: Rfam by way of RNAcentral